This 222-nucleotide non-coding RNA is filed under the name Geomicrobium sp. RNAcentral describes it as "T-box sequence". It matches the Rfam family "T-box leader". From Rfam's summary of the family: Uncharged tRNA acts as the effector for transcription antitermination of genes in the T-box leader family. T-boxes are found upstream of many aminoacyl-tRNA synthetase genes and some amino acid biosynthetic genes usually in Gram-positive bacteria. The record is from RNAcentral. Lineage: Bacteria; Bacillati; Bacillota; Bacilli; Caryophanales.
UUACAUGCAAAGAUUGGGAGUAGUAUGCAGGAAUCCUCAUCCAGAGAGAGAACCCUUGGCUGAAAGGUUCUUUGACUAGGAGACGUGCAGAAGUCGCCCAUGAGCAUUCUUCUCUGAACAAGAGUAGGAGAAGACGUUAACUUACGUUAUAGUUCUUAAUGAGUGUAUGAGUGAUUUAUCGUUCAUAAACAAAGGUGGUACCGCGAACACUUCGUCCUUUGC